Molecule: non-coding RNA, 53 nt
Filed under: unclassified sequences
Source: RNAcentral
AUAGUAAUGCAGCCAAGAGACAGUGGCAAGCCUGACAGAAUGCAGAGCCUUAA